UUAGAGGCAAACGGGUGGACCCGCAAUACGUCGACCCGGGGGAUUCAACCAGGCCGUGCGUUCGGGACGCGUGGGGGUUAUGCGGAGCUGUAAAGCCCGUGCCUCUGCGUAGGUCUCCGGGCGGACUGGUGCACUUUCCUCGGGUUGAUUGCCACGACCGGCUCUCCGUGCGGCCACAAGCCUUUGCUGGGAAGGUGACCGUCGGCCCCGCGCCGGCGGUGUUAUAGACCAGCUUGUUCGUUGAGCUCGUCGGAGGGCCGAGGAAGUGUUGCCGUUUCUCAGCCACCCUCCGGCCAUCCUUGCUCGUCACGACUGGGGUGAACUGCUUCGUCAGUGCUCUCCCGACCGCGAGCGUAGGAAGGGCUGGUACGGUGCGAGAAAGCUUCGGGCCAGUGGCGAAUCGGUCGGUCCUCCACCCGA
This 420-nucleotide ribosomal RNA is filed under the name Megalonaias nervosa. RNAcentral describes it as "partial 28S large subunit ribosomal RNA". The record is from RNAcentral. Lineage: Eukaryota; Metazoa; Mollusca; Bivalvia; Unionida; Unionidae.